Hevea brasiliensis (rubber tree) is the source of this 452-nucleotide long non-coding RNA. RefSeq lists it as uncharacterized. The transcript is spliced from 2 exons. The record is from RefSeq and is a predicted model, not a curated record. NCBI's taxonomy places the organism in Eukaryota, Viridiplantae, Streptophyta, Magnoliopsida, Malpighiales, Euphorbiaceae.
AGGUGUAAGUCCAUAAUGCAGCUGAAAUGUUCAUCUUCCUCACUUGGUCCUCCCAUGCCGAAUUGAAGAAGAAAAAUCCUCCAUGGCCAUUUUUCAAUCAAGCUCUCUUAACUCCUCCAUUUCAACUCCAAUCUCUUAGGUUCCUUCAUGAAAAAUUGUCUACACAUCAUAAGGAAGAGUUUGAUACCAAAUUUGAGAAGUUUAAUCAAGGUUUGGCAAGUUCCAACCAUAAGGACACUUGGGUAUUGAGGAGGAUUUUCGGCAGCCUUGAACCUCUUGGAUAAGUGUAUGUGUUCAUGAAGAUAUAGGCAGAAUUGUAGCAUUAAGGAUUGAUGGAUAUGUAUAUGAAUUUGUUGUGUAAAGUAUAUGUAAAAAACUAGUAAUGUUUAUGUGUAUGUGUAAUUGUAUUUGGACUUUGGGAAUUAGAGUUAUAUUUGGUGUGUUGAGGAUAA